This 1372-nucleotide ribosomal RNA is filed under the name uncultured bacterium. RNAcentral's name for it is "bacterial SSU rRNA". It matches the Rfam family "Bacterial small subunit ribosomal RNA", at positions 28 to 1381 of the family's 1533-position model. The record is from RNAcentral.
GAUGAACGCUGGCGGCGUGCCUAAUACAUGCAAGUCGAGCGAACGGACGAGAAGCUUGCUUCUCUGAUGUUAGCGGCGGACGGGUGAGUAACACGUGGGUAACCUACCUAUAAGACUGGGAUAACUUCGGGAAACCGGAGCUAAUACCGGAUAAUAUUUUGAACCGCAUGGUUCAAAAGUGAAAGACGGUCUUGCUGUCACUUAUAGAUGGAUCCGCGCUGCAUUAGCUAGUUGGUAAGGUAACGGCUUACCAAGGCAACGAUGCAUAGCCGACCUGAGAGGGUGAUCGGCCACACUGGAACUGAGACACGGUCCAGACUCCUACGGGAGGCAGCAGUAGGGAAUCUUCCGCAAUGGGCGAAAGCCUGACGGAGCAACGCCGCGUGAGUGAUGAAGGUCUUCGGAUCGUAAAACUCUGUUAUUAGGGAAGAACAUAUGUGUAAGUAACUGUGCACAUCUUGACGGUACCUAAUCAGAAAGCCACGGCUAACUACGUGCCAGCAGCCGCGGUAAUACGUAGGUGGCAAGCGUUAUCCGGAAUUAUUGGGCGUAAAGCGCGCGUAGGCGGUUUUUUAAGUCUGAUGUGAAAGCCCACGGCUCAACCGUGGAGGGUCAUUGGAAACUGGAAAACUUGGGUGCAGAAGAGGAAAGUGGAAUUCCAUGUGUAGCGGUGAAAUGCGCAGAGAUAUGGAGGAACACCAGUGGCGAAGGCGACUUUCUGGUCUGUAACUGACGCUGAUGUGCGAAAGCGUGGGGAUCAAACAGGAUUAGAUACCCUGGUAGUCCACGCCGUAAACGAUGAGUGCUAAGUGUUAGGGGGUUUCCGCCCCUUAGUGCUGCAGCUAACGCAUUAAGCACUCCGCCUGGGGAGUACGACCGCAAGGUUGAAACUCAAAGGAAUUGACGGGGACCCGCACAAGCGGUGGAGCAUGUGGUUUAAUUCGAAGCAACGCGAAGAACCUUACCAAAUCUUGACAUCCUUUGACAACUCUAGAGAUAGAGCUUUCCCCUUCGGGGGACAAAGUGACAGGUGGUGCAUGGUUGUCGUCAGCUCGUGUCGUGAGAUGUUGGGUUAAGUCCCGCAACGAGCGCAACCCUUAAGCUUAGUCGCCAUCAUUAAGUUGGGCACUCUAAGUUGACUGCCGGUGACAAACCGGAGGAAGGUGGGGAUGACGUCAAAUCAUCAUGCCCCUUAUGAUUUGGGCUACACACGUGCUACAAUGGACAAUACAAAGGGCAGCGAAACCGUGAGGUCAAGCAAAUCCCAUAAAGUUGUUCUCAGUUCGGAUUGUAGUCUGCAACUCGACUACAUGAAGCUGGAAUCGCUAGUAAUCGUAGAUCAGCAUGCUACGGUGAAUACGUUCCCGGGUCU